This 255-nucleotide ribosomal RNA is filed under the name uncultured bacterium. RNAcentral describes it as "partial 16S ribosomal RNA". It matches the Rfam family "Bacterial small subunit ribosomal RNA", at positions 524 to 780 of the family's 1533-position model. The record is from RNAcentral.
UACGUAGGGGGCGAGCGUUGUCCGGAUUUAUUGGGCGUAAAGAGCUCGUAGGCGGUUGGGUAAGUCGGGUGUGAAAACUCAGGCUCAACUCUGAGACGCCACUCGAUACUGCCCUGACUCGAGUCCGGUAGGGAGCGUGGAAUUCCCGGGUGUAGCGGUGAAAUGCGUAGAGAUCCGGAGGACACCGACGGCGUAGGCAGCGCCCUGGACGACACCUGACGCUGAGGCACGAAAGCUGGGGAGCGAACAGGAUUA